ACAAAGAUUUGGUCCUGGUCUUAUUGUCAGUUAUCUCUUGAUUUACACAUGCAAGUCUCAGCACUCCAGUGAGGACGCCCUUUCCCCUCCCAUAGGACAAGGAGCUGAUAUCAGGCACAUCUACUGCCCAUGACAUCUAGUUCGACCACACCCCCAAGGGUAUUCAGCAGUGAUAGAUAUUGUUUAUAAGCGACAGCUUGACACAGUCAAAGAGAAGAGGGCCGGCUAACCCGGUGCCAGCCGCCGCGGCUAAACCCUAGGGCCCAAAUUGAUAAAACUCGGCGUAAAUCGUGAUUAAAGUCUACUAAAAUUAGAGUGGAACCUACUACUAAGCUGUGAAAAGCAACUCUUUUAGGGAAAAUCAGAAACGAAAGUUACUCUAAUGCACACUUGAACACACGACAACUG
RNAcentral lists this ribosomal RNA (408 nucleotides) under Fejervarya limnocharis (Boie's wart frog). Its description in RNAcentral is "partial 12S rRNA". The record is from RNAcentral. Lineage: Eukaryota; Metazoa; Chordata; Amphibia; Anura; Dicroglossidae.